GAUGAGCGCUAGCGGCAGGCCUAACACAUGCAAGUCGAGGGGGAAGUUACUUUCGGGUGACUGAGACCGGCGUACGGGUGCGUAACGCGUAUACAAUCUGCCUUUCACUGGGGGAUAGCCCGAAGAAAUUUGGAUUAAUACCCCAUAGUAUAUAGGGACGGCAUCGUUUUUAUAUUAAAGCUUAGGUGGUGAAAGAUGAGUAUGCGUUCUAUUAGCUAGUUGGAAAGGUAACGGCUCCCCAAGGCGAUGAUAGAUAGGGGUUCUGAGAGGGAUGUCCCCCACACUGGUACUGAGAUACGGACCAGACUCCUACGGGAGGCAGCAGUGAGGAAUAUUGGACAAUGGUCGGAAGACUGAUCCAGCCAUGCCGCGUGCAGGAUGAAGGUCUUAUGGAUUGUAAACUGCUUUUGUAAGGGAAGAAUAAGGGCUACGCGUAGUUUGAUGACGGUACCUUACGAAUAAGCAUCGGCUAACUCCGUG
Molecule: ribosomal RNA, 480 nt
Filed under: uncultured bacterium
Lineage: Bacteria
Description: partial 16S ribosomal RNA
Rfam family: Bacterial small subunit ribosomal RNA
Source: RNAcentral